AUUAUACUCCCUCCGUCCCAAAAUUCUGGUCUUAGAUUCGUCUAGAUACGGAUGUAUUUAAUACUAAAAUGUGACUUGAUACAUCCGUAUUUAAACAAAUCUAAGACAAGAAUUUUGGGACGGAGGGGUAGUCU
Molecule: non-coding RNA, 134 nt
Organism: Triticum aestivum (bread wheat)
Lineage: Eukaryota; Viridiplantae; Streptophyta; Magnoliopsida; Poales; Poaceae
Source: Rfam